AGGGAGAAGCAGGCCUCACGGCGAACAGGGAGCCCGAUACGGGGCUCAAUCCCAGGACUCUGGGAUCAUGACCUGAGCCGAAGGCAGACACAUAACAACUGAGCCACCCAGGCGCCCCACUUUCUUUUCAUUUUUUAAUGUCACGUCUUAGGUUCCUCAGCUCUCUUGAAUCCUUUCAUCUGUCCCCCUUCCACACUGCUACCUCCUCUACCCCUGUUUCCAUCCCUGCCCGGCUCUUCUCCUGGUAUCUCCCGAUAAUCACUGGAGCUUUGAGACAGUUCCCCACUGUGGGCUCUUGAGGGGCUCAGAGACCCCACAAGCAACCAUCUGGGGUGAAACGGCCCGACUGAGAACAGGAAUUGAAACUCACCCACUAACACUUUGUAUUUGUCACACCCAGAACUUCCUCUUUGAAGGCAAGAAGGUUUCAAAGGCCCCAGACUCUUCACCCCAAUUUUCUCUCUUAAAGAAAUGUGUUCAAAAGUAUAGUAGGUUGAAAACAAUCACAUUACAUUUACUACCAUUAGCCAUACACCAGCGUAUGGGACAGCAGGGGUAUGCAAAUUCUCAUUGCCAUACAACGCAUCUCUAGCACCUGUUCAUUUUGUGACUGAACAUCUGUACCCACAGCUCUGCGUUUCCUCUUCCCUGCCCCCACGGGAUCCCAUCGUUCUUUCUGUUUCUAUAAAUUUGACUACUUUAGAUACCACGUGUAAGGAGAAUCAUAGGGUAUUUGUCUUUCUGUGACUUGCUCAUUUCACUUGGCAGAAGGGCCAGAAUAUCCUUCUUUUCUAAGAUGGAAGAACAUUCCGUUGUUAUGUAGAUGCCUCCGGUUCUUUCUCCAUUCCUGUGUGUGGGGACAUGUGGGUGCUUGACUCUGGAGAAGAACACUGCAUCGAACGGGGAUGUGCAAGUGUCCUUCGUCACGUUGCUUCCAAUUCUUGGAAGUGAUGUAACAUCGGGAGUGAGACGGCUCCAUCACGUGAAGCGACAAGUUGAGUGUCAUCGUCGGAAAACAGGCAGCUGAUGGUCCAUUGCCAACGUGACCCUUUCGUCCAGAUGAUUCUUCCAGACUCUCUGGGUAUGACCCAAGCCAUAUAUCUGAAAGCACGUCGUACAUGUGGACUCACAGAGUCAGUCUCUUCAAGCUCCAUGAGGAAAGGAAGAGAGGACAAAAUGUGGUUUGGAUCCCCUUCAUUCUACUCGGCCCGUAAAGUACAGACAUGGAGUCAUUUCCCUUGAACACAGAACACAGGGAAGAAGAAAGGAUGC
Molecule: long non-coding RNA, 1272 nt
Organism: Mirounga angustirostris (Northern elephant seal)
Lineage: Eukaryota; Metazoa; Chordata; Mammalia; Carnivora; Phocidae
Exons: 3
Source: RefSeq, a predicted model, not a curated record